Molecule: long non-coding RNA, 1425 nt
Organism: Helianthus annuus (common sunflower)
Lineage: Eukaryota; Viridiplantae; Streptophyta; Magnoliopsida; Asterales; Asteraceae
Exons: 8
Source: RefSeq, a predicted model, not a curated record
AGUUUUCCCCAAAUUGAUUUCCAUCUCCCCAAAAUUAACCGCUCACAUUUAAGAUCUGCAGUCAUCGAUUUCCUCCAGGGUCGGAGUUUGAGAAACUGUUGAGCAGCCAGUUAGGGUUUUGAACAAGAUGAUGUCAGUGGUCGGAAUGGUAGUAUCGAACAAAAUGUAGAAAUCGGUGGUGGUGGCCGUCGAUAGGCUCUUCCAUAACAAGCUCUACAAUCGAUACUUCAAAUGCACAUCCAUAUUCAUGGCACACGACGAAACAAAUCAGUGCAAUAUCGGCGAUCGACACGCUUGAGGCGCGAGGUGCACUAAGGCCAGGCCUCAGCGUAAGUUUAUGAGAACGAAGGGGGUAUUAUAAGAUCAUAAGAUUUCAAGAUGACAAGAUGAGGCUAAUAAGGAUGAGGAGAAUGAAGACAUGGAUGAUAUGACAAGUUACAUUUUAUUUAGCAAAAUGAAUUACUUCUUUUGGUGCCUGAGUGCCCCUUCUCUUCAGUCCUCUCUGCUUCUCGUUGCCGCCCUUUCUUUGCUAGACCGUCACUAGCACAUUAUUUGGUAGUCGCUGCCCCACCGGUGUGUAGUUGAUUACUUGAAGAAGGCGGUUGGGUGCCUGCAGUUCUGGCAUCGUAGAACGCUUAAAACUAAAGUGGAAGGUAGCAUGGAGAGGCCCACUUAGAAGAAUUUCCAAGUUUGAUCAGGGGCCCCGAGGUCGUUGACAAAAAUAAAGAGAUUUCUUCUCGCAACAAAUUCCUUGGCUUGCUGAGUAGACAUGAUGUUUUCUUUAGUUGAGCGAGAUACCAAGGGUUGUCAUUGAUUAACCAAAGUCGACUUAAUUGAAACUGAUUGGUUAUCAUUGAUAAAUAUGAUGACACUGCAACGUAAAUUUUAGUUGCUUGCUCUAUGGCUCAAAUCAUUUGGCUAUGAAGACAUUCAUUUUGCAAUUGCGGAACAUAUGAAGAACUACAAAUCUUUAGAAGAAGAUGAAGUGAUUUGGUUGAUCCUUUUAUCCUUGUAAUGAACAAGGAGCAUGAUGGCUACAUUUGACUUUAUGGAAGAGGUGUUACUUUAAAAAUGAUGAACAAAAUGGGAGAUGGUGAGGAACCAUACAUGAUACAUGAUUUCGGGCUUAAGCAAUAAUUCAAAGCCAGCCUUGAAGUUAAAAAGACACAGUUGCUUGAAAUUCAAGAAAACCAUCAAAAAAAAAAAAAAAGCAAAGCCAGAAGCUAUAUAGAAAGAUUUUGACAACCAAUGAGCUAACUUUGAAACUACGAUGCAAAAUAUCAUUGAAAAACUUUCUAUUAGAGUACUUGAAGUUCUUAGAGAUGAGCAGAGGUUUCCGUUACAUUUUAUCAUUGUUAUUUUGAUUAAUUGUUAUUAUGAGUCUAGACGUAUUAUGAUAAAAGAUUAUUUAUUAUAUUUAUGUUA